Molecule: ribosomal RNA, 925 nt
Filed under: uncultured bacterium
Lineage: Bacteria
Description: bacterial SSU rRNA
Rfam family: Bacterial small subunit ribosomal RNA
Source: RNAcentral
AGAGUUUGAUCAUGGCUCAGAACGAACGCUGGCGGCGCGUCUUAAACAUGCAAGUCGAACGGUAGCUUUGAAGCUUGCUUCAGAGUGAGAGUGGCGAACGGGUGAGUAACACGUGGGUUAUCUGCCUUUGGGAUGGGGACAACAGUUCGAAAGGACUGCUAAUACCGAAUACGAUGUUAGUUAGAAAUAGUUAACAUGAAAGAUGGGGAUCGCAAGACCUAUCACCCAAAGAUGAGCCUGCGGCCCAUUAGCUUGUUGGCGGGGUAAUGGCCCACCAAGGCGACGAUGGGUAGCCGGCCUGAGAGGGUGUACGGCCACAUUGGGACUGAGAUACGGCCCAGACUCCUACGGGAGGCAGCAGUUAAGAAUCUUGCACAAUGGGGGAAACCCUGAUGCAGCGACGCCGCGUGAAUGAUGAAGGUCUUCGGAUCGUAAAGUUCAAUAAGCAGGGAAGAAUAAGCAACGGGUAAUAUUCGUUGUGAUGACGGUACCUGCCUAAAGCCUCGGCUAACUACGUGCCAGCAGCCGCGGUAAUACGUAUGAGGCAAGCGUUGUUCGGAAUUAUUGGGCGUAAAGGGCAUCUAGGCGGGAUGUUAAGUUAGAUGUGAAAUCUCAGGGCUCAACCCUGAAACUGCAUUUAAAACUGGCAUUCUUGAGUUCGGAAGGGGAGAGCGGAAUUCCCGGUGUAGCGGUGAAAUGCGUAGAUAUCGGGAAGAACACCAGUGGCGAAGGCGGCUCUCUGGUCUAGAACUGACGCUGAAGUGCGAAAGCGUGGGGAGCGAACAGGAUUAGAUACCCUGGUAGUCCACGCCGUAAACGUUGUAUACUAGGUGUUAGUGGUUUAACCACUAGUGCCGUCGCAAACGCAUUAAGUAUACCGCCUGGGGAGUACGCCCGCAAGGGUGAAACUCAAAUGAAUUGACGG